This 495-nucleotide ribosomal RNA is filed under the name uncultured bacterium. Its description in RNAcentral is "partial 16S ribosomal RNA". It matches the Rfam family "Bacterial small subunit ribosomal RNA", at positions 30 to 507 of the family's 1533-position model. The record is from RNAcentral.
UGACCGCUGGCGGCGUGCCUACUACAUGCAAGUCGAGCGACCGGACGAGAAGCUUGCUUCUCUGAUGUUAGCGGCGGACGGGUGAGUAACACGUGGAUAACCUACCUAUAAGACUGGGAUAACUUCGGGAAACCGGAGCUAAUACCGGAUAAUAUUUUGAACCGCAUGGUUCAAAAGUGAAAGACGGUCUUGCUGUCACUUAUAGAUGGAUCCGCGCUGCAUUAGCUAGUUGGUAAGGUAACGGCUUACCAAGGCAACGAUGCAUAGCCGACCUGAGAGGGUGAUCGGCCACACUGGAACUGAGACACGGUCCAGACUCCUACGGGAGGCAGCAGUAGGGAAUCUUCCGCAAUGGGCGAAAGCCUGACGGAGCAACGCCGCGUGAGUGAUGAAGGUCUUCGGAUCGUAAAACUCUGUUAUUAGGGAAGAACAUAUGUGUAAGUAACUGUGCACAUCUUGACGGUACCUAAUCAGAAAGCCACGGCUAACUACGUG